AGACUCAACUCUCGAGAGGUUUCUUGCGAGUUGGAUUUGGGUGUUGCCAUUUGGCUCGCCUUAAAAGUGUUAGUGGUUUAAGCACUUGAUCGGACGUGAUAAGUUUCGUCCGGCCGUGUGUCGUCGACCGCUCCUAAACCGCCUUGCGGCGCUCUUUGACU
RNAcentral lists this unclassified non-coding RNA (161 nucleotides) under uncultured Tremellales. RNAcentral describes it as "sequence contains ITS2". Lineage: Eukaryota; Fungi; Basidiomycota; Tremellomycetes; Tremellales. The record is from RNAcentral.